CUUCCUUCCCUCCUCUUGGGUUGAGUCUCCAUAACUCCCAAGAGAUUAGAAAACUGAUUACUCAUUUUUCUUGAGGCAGAAACGGGGCUGGGGGGAGGGGAGAGCGUUGAUAUUAAAUGUGGCAACAAGAGCCUGGGGUUUCCCAAGAAAUUUGUGUGAGACAGAAGGCUCGGCGGCAUGGGAAGUCCCAGAGAAUGGAAAUCGAGGUCUGAGAGCAUCUCGGGUAGAGCCUUCACCACCCACAACUCAAGCCAGCAGGCAAAUGGGCAAAGAGGCACAAGGCCAGGCUCCCAGAGAAAGCCAGUCAGCCCUCAGUAAAGGAAAUAAAAUACGUCACCAAACACAGAGCUGGCCAGGUCCCUGAUGUCCUUUGUCAUCUACUUCAUUACUGCUUUAAAAUUGUAAAUCGGAAAGAUGGGAAAUCGGGCAAGCCAGGGACCGCCAUGCAGACUGUUCGAUUCUCCCCCAGUGUGGCCAUAGUGCCCCCAGGCAACCAGGGCAGAAUGUUCUCAGUUCAGCAAAAGCCUUCCUGUUGGACCGUCCAGGCCAGCGCUGGGACAAGAGUCAUGGCAAAAAAAACAACAUGAACAAAUCAGAACCCAACGCCAGCAGCAGUGCGGGGGAGAUUUCAUCAGCCCUGUGACGGGCCAGAGGCCUGGGCAAACCAGAGCAAAGAGCAGCGCCCCCAAGGUCUCUCUCUGAGGCUCCCUACUGUACGGCAGGCCACGCCCAUCUGAAAUUCCCCAGGAACUUGCAGCUCCUGCACAGGGACGUCUGGGCCAGACUCCUCGAGGCUUCCCGAACAUUCCCAAGUGGCUCCGCGUUCUCAGACAAGGGCAGCUCCUGGGAGCCUGGAGAAGACCCCUGUCUGAAGACAACAAGCCUCUCCAUGGAAGUCCCGUCUGGACUCUUGAUGCAAACACGGGCAGUCAGGGGUGAGAAGGUACGCGUGCAGCCUCACUUCUGCCAUUUAUGUGCUUUCUGACUCUAAUGGAGACAUUUCACGCCCCGUGCCUCAGUUUCUCCGUUGCUCAACGUUUAUGCCCCUAUUUUGGAAAUUCCUUUUUGGCACUUUCAGUUACACAGAGAGAGUCACAGACGGGACGAUAGGGCAAUAUUUUACUUGAUAAAUAAAAUGGGAGGGCCCCCUGGUGGACUGCACAAUUCUAAGCACUGAACUAUGAAAUGAAUGAGUAAGUGAGUAAGUAAACACAUGAAUGAACGAUUAAAGUGAAGAAUUUUUAGACUUUUAUGCAAAGCCACAGAAACAAAAGGAGGAGAGAAUUUCCAGAAGGAGGCUGUGGCAAACUCUCCAGCGACGCAAAGAAGACAAGAAAAACCUAAUUGUAUAUGAGCCCUGAGUCCUUGUUGACUGCACGGAGAGCAGUUGUAUGGCACAGCCUCUCUGGGAGGCAGUGUCCAUUCACUAGAGGACAUAAGCAUCCUUUGAGCCAGUGAUCUUUCCUCUAGGAAUUUACCCUACAGAUAUGUUCACAGUUGUGCUCAAAUAUGUUGAAGGCCUACAGCCCUGAAGCAUUGCUCUAAUGUCAAAAGAUCCUAGAUAUUCUACAAGGACAUCAUUAAGGGUCUGGUAAAAUAAAUUACAGUACAUCCACAUAGUGGAAUGCCACACAGCUUUUUAGACAAUGAAGCAGCUCUCUAUAUAAUGAUAUGGAACAAUCUCCAAGCUAUAUUGUGAAGUGAAAAUCAAAAACCUUAUUGAAAAACAUUAAAGAAGACCUAAGAAAAUGGAAAGGCAAACCAUAUACUUGGGUAGAAGAAUGAAUAUCAUAAAAAAAUCUCAAUUCUCUCUCAGUUGAUCUACAGAUUCAAAGCAAUUCCAUGCAAAAUCCCAAAAGGUUGGACUGGCUGGGACAUAGUGAGAGGCACAGGGGAAUUGUCCUACAACAUAUGAAGGUUUAUUAUAAAAGAGAAAUAAUGAGGACAGUGGUAUUAGAGCAGAUGUGAAAAAUUAUAGCAAUACAACAUAAUAGAAAUCCCCCCAGACAGACCCAGCUAUAUAUGGAAACUUGAAUUAUGACAAAACUGACAUUGCACGCUUAUUUGUGGGGAAAGGAUGGAUUAUUUCCCCUAAACAGCACCGAGAUGUUAGGCAUCGGCAGAAGAAAUAUAAAUGGCCCAAAAAUAUAAGAAAAGAUACACAAUCUUUCAGUGAUCAGACAGUGAGAAGACAUUUAAUGCAGAUUGGCAAAAUUAAAACAUCUGACAACAUCUGUGGAGCAAAAGGGUCUCUCAUCCAUUGCAUGCAAUUUUAUUUUUGUAAAAAUUACAAUAGGCAAAACUAAACAAUAUGUUGUUUAGCACAUACAUAGCUCUGUGCUGACGUUAUAAAAUAAUGCACGAGAAUUAUUAACACACAUUUCAAGAUUGUG
This is a long non-coding RNA of Equus caballus (horse), 2393 nucleotides long. Lineage: Eukaryota; Metazoa; Chordata; Mammalia; Perissodactyla; Equidae. The record is from Ensembl.